GCCUGGGUGUGGUGGCUCACGCCUGUAAUCCAAGCUGCUGGGAGGCUGAUGCUGGAGGAUCGUUUGAGCUCAAGAGCUCUGAGCUGCAGUGGACAAUGCCCAUCAGGUGUCCGCACUAAGUUCGAUAUGGUUCUCCUGCGGGAGUGUGAGACUACCAGGUCACCUAAGGACAGGUGAACUGGCCCAGGUCGGGAACGGAGCAGGUCAAAGCCCCCGUACCACUCAGUAGUGAGAUUGCGCCCGUGACUAGAAGCUGUAGUUCAGCCUGAGUAAGAUAGUGAGACUCUGUCAUUU
Molecule: signal recognition particle RNA, 294 nt
Filed under: Kryptolebias marmoratus (mangrove rivulus)
Lineage: Eukaryota; Metazoa; Chordata; Actinopteri; Cyprinodontiformes; Rivulidae
Description: Metazoan signal recognition particle RNA (ENSKMAG00000017806.1)
Rfam family: Metazoan signal recognition particle RNA
About the family: The signal recognition particle (SRP) is a universally conserved ribonucleoprotein. It is involved in the co-translational targeting of proteins to membranes.
Source: RNAcentral